Molecule: ribosomal RNA, 1993 nt
Filed under: human gut metagenome
Description: bacterial LSU rRNA
Rfam family: Bacterial large subunit ribosomal RNA
Source: RNAcentral
AUAAGAUAUCAAGGGCAACAGGUGAAUGCCUUGGCGCUGAGAGGCGAUGAAAGACGCGGUAAGCUGCGAUAAGCAUCGGGGAGGAGCUAAACAUCCUACGAUCCGAUGAUUUCUGAAUGGGGAAACCCGAUGGGAGUCAUGUCCCAUCAUCCUGAGCUGAAUAUAUAGGCCCAGAGAAGCCAACCCGGGGAAGUGAAACAUCUCAGUACCCGGAGGAAGAGAAAUCAAACGAGACUCCCAAAGUAGCGGCGAGCGAAAUGGGAAGAGCCCAAACCGAGUGGUUUCGACCAUUCGGGGUUGUAGGGCCGGCAUACGCGAUUCUGGAGUAGGCAGAGGAAGUGAGCUGGAAAGCUCCGCCACAGCGGGUGAUAGCCCCGUACUCGAAACCGAAAAGGACGCAGCCGGUACCUGAGUACUGCGAGGCACGUGGAACCUCGUGGGAAUCUAGGGGGACCAUCCUCUAAGGCUAAGUACUCCUCAGCGACCGAUAGUGAACUAGUACCGUGAGGGAAAGGUGAAAAGAACCCCUGUUAGGGGAGUGAAAUAGAAUCUGAAACCUGUUGCCUACAAGCUGCGAGAGCUACUUCGGUAGUGAUCGCGUGCCUUUUGUAUAAUGAGUCAGCGAGUUACUCUACCGUGCGAGGUUAAGCGAAAGCGUAGCCGUAGUGAAAGCGAGGCUUAAUAGGCCGACUAGUACGUUGGAGUAGACCCGAAACCGGGUGAUCUAUCCAUGAGCAGGUUGAAGCAAGGGUAAAGCCUUGUGGAGGACCGAACCGUCAACGGCUGAAAACGUUCCGGAUGACUUGUGGAUAGGGGUGAAAGGUCAAUCAAACCCGGUGAUAGCUGGUUCUCCCCGAAAUAUAUUGAGGUAUAGCCUCGGGAAUUGAUUAGCGGAGGUAAAGCACUGACAGAGCUAGGGGUCCUACCAGAUUACCAAACUCUAUCAAACUCAGAAUGCCGCUUAAUUGUAUCCCGGGAGUCAGACGGCGGGUGCGAAGGUUCGUCGUCAAAAGGGAAACAGCCCAGACCAACAGCUAAGGUCUCCAAAUCCAUGCUCAGUGGUGAAGGUAGUGGAACCGUUUAGACAGCCAGGACGUUGGCUUAGAAGCAGCCAUCAUUUAAAGAAAGCGUAAUAGCUCACUGGUCUAAUGGCUCUGCGCCGAAAAUGUAACGGGGCUAAGCAUGGUACCGAAGCUUUGGCAAUCUCCUUUGGAGAUUGGGUAGGGGAGCGUUCGCUGCGGGCUGAAGGUGUAUCGGAAGGUAUGCUGGACUGCAGUGAAGUGAUUAUGCUGACAUGAGUAACGAUAAAAUAUGUGAAAAACAUAUUCGCCGAAAACCCGAGGUUUCCUGGGUAAAGGUAAUCUUCCCAGGGUUAGUCGGAUCCUAAGGUGAGGGUGAAAGCCGUAACCGAUGGAAAACAGGUUAAUAUUCCUGUACUUGUUGUGUAGCGCGAUGGAGGGACGCAGGAAGAUAGGCGGGCCGGGUGUUGGAUAUCCCGGUGCAAGCGUGUAGGAAUAUCCGGUAGGCAAAUCCGCCGGACGAAUCUGAGACGCGAGUCCGUGGGCGCAAGCCCUGAAGCCGUUGAGUCUAUGCUGCCUAGAAAAGCUCCUAAGUUUAUCCACAGCAAUCCGUACCGCAAACCAACUCAGGUGGGUGGGAUGAACAAUCCAAGGCGCUCGAGAGAACUCUGGCCAAGGAACUCGGCAAAAUAACCCCGUAACUUCGGAAGAAGGGGUGCUCUCUAGGGUGACAUGUUUAACAUAUGAAGCCCCGGGGAGCCGCAGUGAAUUGGUGGUGGCGACUGUUUACUAAAAACAUAGGUCUGUGCGAAGUCCUAAAGACGACGUAUACGGACUGACGCCUGCCCGGUGCUGGAAGGUUAAAAGGAGGGGUCAGCGCAAGCAAAGCUCCGAAUUGAAGCCCCAGUAAACGGCGGCCGUAACUAUAACGGUCCUAAGGUAGCGAAAUUCCUUGUCGGGUAAGUUCCGACCUG